This 73-nucleotide transfer RNA is filed under the name Pteropus alecto (black flying fox). It matches the Rfam family "tRNA". Rfam says of the family: Transfer RNA (tRNA) molecules are approximately 80 nucleotides in length. Their secondary structure includes four short double-helical elements and three loops (D, anti-codon, and T loops). Further hydrogen bonds mediate the characteristic L-shaped molecular structure. tRNAs have two regions of fundamental functional importance: the anti-codon, which is responsible for specific mRNA codon recognition, and the 3' end, to which the tRNAs corresponding amino acid is attached (by aminoacyl-tRNA synthetases). tRNAs cope with the degeneracy of the genetic code in two manners: having more than one tRNA (with a specific anti-codon) for a particular amino acid; and 'wobble' base-pairing, i.e. permitting non-standard base-pairing at the 3rd anti-codon position. The record is from Rfam by way of RNAcentral. Lineage: Eukaryota; Metazoa; Chordata; Mammalia; Chiroptera; Pteropodidae.
GGUCUCAUAGUGUAGUGGUUAACACAUCUGCUUUACAUGCAGAAGGUCCUGGGUUCACACCUCAGUGGCACCA